UACGUAGGGGGCAAGCGUUGUCCGGAAUCAUUGGGCGUAAAGCGCGUGUAGGCGGCCCGGUAAGUCCGCUGUGAAAGUCCAGGGCUCAACCCUGGAAUGCCGGUGGAUACUGUCGGGCUCGAGUCCGGAAGAGGCGAGUGGAAUUCCUGGUGUAGCGGUGAAAUGCGCAGAUAUCAGGAGGAACACCGAUGGCGAAGGCAGCUCGCUGGGACGUGACUGACGCUGAGACGCGAAAGCGUGGGGAGCAAACAGG
RNAcentral lists this ribosomal RNA (253 nucleotides) under uncultured bacterium. Its description in RNAcentral is "partial 16S ribosomal RNA". It matches the Rfam family "Bacterial small subunit ribosomal RNA", at positions 524 to 776 of the family's 1533-position model. The record is from RNAcentral.